Molecule: ribosomal RNA, 371 nt
Filed under: Thiobacillus sp.
Lineage: Bacteria; Pseudomonadati; Pseudomonadota; Betaproteobacteria; Nitrosomonadales; Thiobacillaceae
Description: bacterial SSU rRNA
Rfam family: Bacterial small subunit ribosomal RNA
Source: RNAcentral
AGAUUGAACUGAAGAGUUUGAUCCUGGCUCAGAUUGAACGCUGGCGGAAUGCUUUACACAUGCAAGUCGAACGGCAGCACGGGAGCUUGCUCCUGGUGGCGAGUGGCGAACGGGUGAGUAAUGCGUCGGAACGUACCGAGUAAUGGGGGAUAACGCAGCGAAAGCUGUGCUAAUACCGCAUACGCCCUGAGGGGGAAAGUGGGGGACCGCAAGGCCUCACGCUAUUAGAGAAGCCUGCGUCGGAUUAGCUAGUUGGUGGGGUAAAGGCUCACCAAGGCGACGAUCCGUAGCUGGUCUGAGAGGAUGAUCAGCCACACUGGGACUGAGACACGGCCCAGACUCCUACGGGAGGCAGCAGUGGGGAAUAUUGG